GCGGUUGUAGUGUAAAGGAGGGCACAUCACUAAUUUUAGUAUGCGCACAAGUGAUAGAUUGGGUUCGAUUCCCGACAGCCGCUCA
This 85-nucleotide transfer RNA is filed under the name Crassvirales sp. RNAcentral's name for it is "tRNA-OTHER". It matches the Rfam family "tRNA". Rfam says of the family: Transfer RNA (tRNA) molecules are approximately 80 nucleotides in length. The record is from RNAcentral. Lineage: Duplodnaviria; Heunggongvirae; Uroviricota; Caudoviricetes; Crassvirales.